This 252-nucleotide ribosomal RNA is filed under the name uncultured bacterium. RNAcentral describes it as "partial 16S ribosomal RNA". It matches the Rfam family "Bacterial small subunit ribosomal RNA", at positions 524 to 776 of the family's 1533-position model. The record is from RNAcentral.
UACGAAGGGGACUAGCGUUGUUCGGAAUACUGGGCGUAAAGCGUGCGCAGGCGGUGAUGUAAGACAGGUGUGAAAUCCCCGGGCUUAACCUGGGAACUGCAUUUGUGACUGCAUCGCUGGAGUGCGGCAGAGGGGGAUGGAAUUCCGCGUGUAGCAGUGAAAUGCGUAGAUAUGCGGAGGAACACCGAUGGCGAAGGCAAUCCCCUGGGCCUGCACUGACGCUCAUGCACGAAAGCGUGGGGAGCAAACAGG